AAACAGUUUCUGAGGGUGUUUUUAGAGUUCCAGGAAAACACUUUUUUAAAAAGCCUCCUAGGAGAAUGAGCUUGAAGUAAAUGUCAUUGAGGCUUCUGGCUGGUUCCUGUGCGGCCCUUUGAAACUAAGAACAGCUCAACACCAGAGCCAUGAUCAUUUCUCUUGGCUUCCUUUUUCGAUUUUAUUACACAAAGUUUCAAACAUGCACAAAGGUAUGGGAGAAAGAGCGAUGAUGCCACAUGUACCCAUCACCUAGCUCCAACAUUCAACCGUUAGCAACUCAUUUUGGCCACUAUGUUCAGUGAGUGACAGAGGAAGGGGGAGAGGGAAGGAGGGAAAGGAAAGAAAAUUAAAACGCACCGCACAAGAUUUGGAGCAUGUUGCCACUCGCUCCAUAUUUUUUUUUACUCCUGAAUCCACUCUGAAAUAGUUCUAGUAGAAAGGACCCACAGCUGGUUUGGCAAAACUCCUUGGAGACUGCGAAUUUCAAUUCAGAUUUCAGAGAACUCAUUAGGAACUGCCCCACAAAGGACCGUAUCUCCUUGUAUCUCACCAUUUCCAAUGUGAUUCUGAAAGAAACUGAUGACUUGUGCCAGGCUCACAUUUUACUUGUCAGGGAUUUUAACCACACAGAGAAAAUUCCAGUAAGAGGCUUAAAAGUUUCCCAGCUAAAGAAAUGCCGAUGGUGAUGGAGCGGCAGAGAGUAGAGCCAGGGCUGGUGCGAACGAACCGGAUGUCUGAGGACUCCAGCCCGGUCGUGAGCUCUGCGCUUCAGAUGGUUUGCAGGGGGGCCCCGUGGGAGGUCACGAGGGUCCCACGGAGUCCAGGCCACCACCCUCCGUCUUCGGUGGGGAGGAGACACUGGCCUACCUGCUGUGGCCUUCUCCUCACACAGCCUGUGAGACUUCCAACCUCGCCUCUUUCUCUCUUUCCAAGCAUGGUCUGAUUGAGAUAAAGGGAAUUUAUGUCACUAAUAUUAAUGCUUCCUUCUCAAACUUUGUUUUCUGUCAGCAAGUAAAGGUGAAAAGGACAACGAUGGGCCAUAGAUGCUAAUUUUAGCUCAAGAUCUAACCGUGUCAUUUGUCAGCAGAGUCACUUGCAGCCUCCCGCUGUGGGAUCUGGCGAGCUCAGGGCACCUCCCCAAGCUCACGUCCACAGAAGAGCACACAUAGGUUUGGCAAGACGUUGGUCGGGGCUGAAAUCUUGGCCGGGAGCAUGUCCACUUCCACGCAGACUCCUCCCUAGAGCAAAGGCUUAGGGCAGAUGUGAAGGCAGGUCCACCGAAGGGCGGGGCGCAUAGCUGGAGCACACACUCACCCCACACACCAAGGACGUGAAGGAGGGAGGGAGCACGAAUGCCCAGACGGGCUCUCAGUGACAGCUGCCUGGUCCCCUCCCCUCUCAGCAAGCCAGGCAGCCAGGGUGAAGAGUCUCCUCCAGGACCCCACAGAUGGUCUGCACUGCCUGGGACAAAUUUCUAUUUCUUGACCAUCUGCCAAGGUGCCAGGGAAAAGACGCCACUCAGGAGAGUUAGUAAUUUGGGUGCUGUCUGUGAGCUCUGACAAAAGGAGAAGCAGCAGAUGAUUUCUGACGGUCGAAAGUGAACUCAACAUGUCAGGAGCUGCUAGCACACAGGAGGGCUCUGCAUCUGCCCUUGUGGAUUAAAGCCCAAGCUCUGUGACCAUGGGAUGCCACCUGGCUUCUUUAACUGGAGAGAGGAACACCUGUGCCACAGGGAUCGAAAUCCUUUUUUUUUCCCCAAAUAAACAUCCUCUAUUAAAGAAAAAAAGGACUGCUGUUAAGCACCAAAACUGUAUGUUAUUACACUGCAUGUACAAUAAGAGAAAGGUGAUUGCAAUACUUGGUGUACAAGUACUUAACUCUCAAGCCAUGAGUGUAAAAACCAUGAAAUACACAGUAAUACAGUAAUUACAACGCAGAAAACUUGUCUAAAUGAGGAAAAGGCAACAGUCCAAACAAUUGUUGUAGAUGUCCUAGUACUGGUAUAAAUGCUUGCUUAGUGUUUACUUUGUACUUCUACUACUUUAGAAUGUUAAUUGAGCAUAUUUCUUGUAAAUCUGCAGAAGAUGCAUUUACAAUCCACUAUGCAUACUGUCCAAUUAAUGUCAUGGUGAGAAAGCCAUCGGUAAAGCCAAGCACAACAUGCUAGUGUUUCUGCUUCUACCUUCAUAAUAUUGCACAAAGCUAGUAAAUGGUGAAUCAGUUUGCCAGCAUAAUUUUCGUGUACCCAGAAUGGCUAGAAACAUGUCAGUUUUGUUAGCCCUAAGGGACUUUAUUCAUGCAAAAUGACCUGCGGCCUUUGACUUUUCUUGAACUACAUCUGGCUUCAUGCUUGGCAAGACACACAGCACAGUGAGAAAUCCCAUGAGCCAGUGGGGUUUGGACAAAGCCACAGUACUGAGAGAUCACUGGGUUGCACAAUCUACCCAUCUUGAAAAUGCCACCUUAUGAUUAGGGAGACUUCUUAAAAAUAAUGAGUGCUGGGGAAAGCUGGAAUAAUUAGUUACAUUCUUUGAUAGUUAACCACAGAACGUGCAAAUUUAAAAAAAAAAUACCCCCAUUAAAACUGAACUCUGUAACCCAAUGCCAUAUGUUUUUACAUCUAAACAUUGCUUUCCGAGUGGGAGGACGAGGAGGAGGAGGCCUUGCCCUGCACGGACUGGGAGAACUGACAAGUGACUUGAGAGAAGAAAAUUAUCUACAGAUGAAGAUUGGUUCUGAUUCUUUUGGAUAACAGUAGUUUAAGCAAUUUGUCCCACGGUUGGAUUCUACUAGAUUCCAAGCUUGUUGGCUCAAGUGGUGUGAAAACCAAAACGAAGCACGGCUGGCAGUUCCUUUUCAGUCAUUCCAAGGGAGAGUGUCUGGCAUGAGUCUCGGAUGUGCAGCAUUCCCGACGGUGGGGGAGAACAGGACUUCUCUCCCCACCCACCCACUAGACCCUUGUGGCGGCCGUUUAAGCUGGGGUCACGAAGAACCAGAAGAGCAUUGAAACCCUUAAACACACAUAAAGCUUCUGACUUAAGGAGUACGUCGAGGUAUUCUCCUUCCGAAAAUGCUAUGAUUUCCAACACCAAGGAAUCUGGGAGGUCUGCCUUUUUGGAAAACAACUAGGCAAUUUAGUCCAGAAUAUUUCUCACCAUAACUUCUUGCUCACUGGAGCAGGAGAAGUAUAAAAUUUGGGUCAGUACCACCAGAAAAUUCUCAUGAGAUACAAGUAUUGCAUAGUUUACAUCUUACAUGAGAAUUUUAAAGACUUUUUCCCCCAUAGUUGCUCCCAGUCAUUUGGAAAUCAAAGAAAUGGCAUCAGUUAAACCAAGCUGGGAAAGUGAAAUCUUUGCAAAGUUUAUGUUGCUAAUUAAAUUAAAGUUUCUAGCAGAUCAAGGACAAAUAGCUGAGUUCAACCAAAUAUUUCCUUUGAUCUCUGGGUUCUUUACUUCAAAGACGAGCCAGCAGGAUUGCGCGGGGGGCUGCUGGGGUCCCCGUUUCCUUACCGUGCGGGGAUCCCGGUGCCAGGGUCCCCGGGAGCCUGCUCCAGAGAAGUGCAGAGCCUGCGCUGUUUGUUUUUGCCCGGGCCAGGCUGGCGCGAAGUGUGUGGCGAGAAUGAGUGAGUCAGCAGACGCGGGUUUGCAGCCUGGUCCGCCAGGGCCCGGUUCCACGAGAAAGCACUGCACGUCACGCUCUCCCACCAGGGCCUGUGCAUCUCAGCUCCGAUCUGAAGGUAGUGCUGGGCCUCUGGAUAACCAAAUCCUGAAAUGAGAUUAAGACCUACAACUCGAGAAGAAGCCUCAAGAAGUUUACUUUUUCUUCCAGGAAGAAGCUUCUGCCACGACGCUUCCAGUGCUUCCUGCGCAGUAGGCGCUUAGUAAUUCUUUGCUGAAUGAGUGAAGGGAAAAUGAAGACUGCGGUGAGGAGCGGGCCCGGGACUGUCUGCCACUUAGACGUGUUCUUCUUCCUCUCAGGUCACCCCAUUCACUGCGGCUGCGCAGCCCCGACGGCACUUGGGCCUAGGAUGGAGGAACAAGGACAUAGUAGGGCCAGGGAGGGAAAAAGGGACUGGGGAAGGGAAGGAUAAAGAAAGGGUGGCCCUGCCUGCCAAGGGGAAGGAAGGACAGCUCUGAGGGUGGGAGGGGUUUCCCACAACUGUCUUCAGCUGGGAGAGCGUCCUGUGCCCGGCGCAGUGGUGCACCAGUGGUGGCAGCACCAUCCACACGAACCCAGUCUGCUUCCCACCAAAUGGAUUGAACUUUUGCCUCUCUCUGAAUUUUC
Long non-coding RNA from Heterocephalus glaber (naked mole-rat), 4287 nucleotides. The record is from Ensembl. Lineage: Eukaryota; Metazoa; Chordata; Mammalia; Rodentia; Bathyergidae.